CCCUCCCCUCCCCUCCUCUCUCUCUCUCUCUCUCUCUCUCUCUCUCUCUCUCAUCUCUCUCUCAUCGUUCCUUGGAACCGGUCGAUGGGACCGACGCCGCUCUCGCCGGCGAAGAGCUUGUCGUAGUAGGCGUUCACGUCGUUGCCGAAGACGGAGACGCAGCCUAGGCCGGUGAUGACCACGCGCUUCUUGGGGUCCUUCUCGCGCGUGGGGGCGGAGACGGUUGAGGCGGAGAUGAAGGAGACGCGUCUAGGGGCGGGUUUGGGAGUGAGGUUGGGGAAGUGGGCCCGCUUGCGGAGCGGGUCGAGCGGGGCGGGUCGGAGCGUGGAGGAUUGAAUGGCUUGCAUGGUGGUGGAGAGUGAGAGUAGUGAAGAGUGGUGGCGACGCCAACGAGGUGAGAGUUUGAAUCGGAGAGAAGAGAGAGAGAGAGGGUGGGGGGGGGGGGGGGGGCGGUUGGAUUGGGUUUUGUAGGAGGAGAGACACCUCGUUGUUUUCAGCUGCGCUGCUAUAUCCACGCCGCGUCACUCUGCAGCAGAAAACCUUUACCAGGCAAGUUGUAUAUAUUAAUCACAUUGUUGUGUAACUUAUGCAAUCCUCUCUGUGCUUAUUAAGCUGUACGUGGUUUUUCAUUGAAAACAACAAGAGGAUUACUAGAUUGCUUGACCGUUUUUAGGUGAAAAAAUAAGGAGCUCCUUGUUGAAUACCAGUGGAAGACCACUAUGGUUUGUCCAAGGCUGAGUGAAGCUAGUAGGUUUUAUUGCUUUAAUAGCUUGAUUCUUUUUCAUAAAUCCUUGACAUUUUAUAUUUUUUAAAUGACAUAAAUGGAAUGGGUUGAAACCCUUGGGGAAAUCUUAUAAUGCAGGUUUAGCCCUAUCUGUCACACAUCAUUCCUUGUUUAUUUGUAGUUUGUGGAAGCAUGGUGAUGUCUUUGCUUGUUGUUUUACUUUUUAUAUGACUGUUUCCUCCAAAUAUAUUUUCAUUCCCUGCAAUGCUAUAAUUGCACGCAUAGAUUGGAAUUUGAACUUCUUGGGAUUGGUUAUUAUUAGAGCUUAACCUGCUUGAGGUAUCCAAUAAAAGGAACAAAUAGAAGAUUCUGUUGUGAUCGCAUCUGUGCCACUUCUGCUUUUCAUAACUUGCCUUUUUUAUUGUACGUGUUUGUCAUGGUGUUGAGUUUCAUGUAUGUUAAUUCCCUGCAGACCUGAAAUUGA
This 1208-nucleotide long non-coding RNA is filed under the name Fragaria vesca (wild strawberry). Its description in RNAcentral is "long non-coding RNA (FVES_LNC004825)". The record is from RNAcentral. Lineage: Eukaryota; Viridiplantae; Streptophyta; Magnoliopsida; Rosales; Rosaceae.